Molecule: ribosomal RNA, 300 nt
Filed under: Drosophila hydei
Lineage: Eukaryota; Metazoa; Arthropoda; Insecta; Diptera; Drosophilidae
Description: partial Dhyd\u0008b
Rfam family: Eukaryotic small subunit ribosomal RNA
Source: RNAcentral
AUUCUGGUUGAUCCUGCCAGUAGUUAUAUGCUUGUCUCAAAGAUUAAGCCAUGCAUGUCUAAGUACACACGAAUUAAAAGUGAAACCGCAAAAGGCUCAUUAUAUCAGUUAUGGUUCCUUAGAUCGUUAACAGUUACUUGGAUAACUGUGGUAAUUCUAGAGCUAAUACAUGCAAUUAAAACACGGACCUUUUGGAACGUGUGCUUUUAUUAGGCUAAAACCAAGCGAUCGCUAGAUCGUUACAUUGGUUGAACUCUAGAUAACAUGCAGAUCGUAUGGUCUUGUACCGACGACAGAUCU